UCCGCAUCAGAUUUCCUGGUGUAACGAAUUUUCAAGUGCUUCUUGCAAACGCAAGCUUUAUCCCGGUCUCCCCAGACCGGGAUUU
Molecule: small RNA, 85 nt
Rfam family: DsrA RNA
About the family: DsrA RNA regulates both transcription, by overcoming transcriptional silencing by the nucleoid-associated H-NS protein, and translation, by promoting efficient translation of the stress sigma factor, RpoS.
Source: Rfam